Lolium perenne is the source of this 386-nucleotide non-coding RNA. The record is from RefSeq and is a predicted model, not a curated record. Lineage: Eukaryota; Viridiplantae; Streptophyta; Magnoliopsida; Poales; Poaceae.
GCCUUGGGUGGAACCAUGCUUGCGCUGAUCUUCUUGAUGGCCGGCCUGGCCAUGAUCCUCUCCCACCACGCCUUGACGUGCGGGUAGGAGUCGAAUAGCGCCGCGUGUGGUGUCGCCAUGAAGUAGAAGGUGUAGGGGAAGUGGUUGAGGUCGGCGAAGCUCACGAAAUCACCGGCCAGGUACUCGUGCUUGGACAGGCGCGCCUCAUACACCUCCAGCACCUUCUUGAGCUUCUCGAGGCUCUCGGCCACGACCUUCUCAUCGGUGGGGAUGCCGCGCAUCAUGGGGUUGAAGAGGCAUUGGUACACGAUGGGGGACAGUGCCGGGUUGUAGGUGUGCGCGUCCACCUCCGUCCACACGUCCACCAUGGCCGCCUCCUUCAGGUU